CGCGUAGGCGGCUUUAUAAGUCUGGAGUGAAAGUCCUCUUUUCAAGGGAGGAAUUGCUUUGGAAACUAUAGAGCUUGAGUGCAGGAGAGGUUAUCGGAAUUCCCGGUGUAGCGGUGAAAUGCGUAGAUAUCGGGAGGAACAUCGGUGGCGAAGGCGAGUAACUGGACUGCAACUGACGCUGAGGCGCGAAAGUGUGGGGAGCAAACA
This 207-nucleotide ribosomal RNA is filed under the name uncultured bacterium. RNAcentral describes it as "partial 16S ribosomal RNA". It matches the Rfam family "Bacterial small subunit ribosomal RNA", at positions 568 to 774 of the family's 1533-position model. The record is from RNAcentral.